Molecule: long non-coding RNA, 743 nt
Filed under: Homo sapiens (human)
Lineage: Eukaryota; Metazoa; Chordata; Mammalia; Primates; Hominidae
Description: non-protein coding lnc-NHLH2-1:5
Source: RNAcentral
ACACCUCGGUGUUUGCAGAGCCUCGGCCUCGGCCCCGGCCCCGGCGGUCUGGGAGCGGACGCCUAGCCCUGCGCCGGGCGGCCCUGAAGAGGGAAAUGCGGCUGCGGGGCCGCGGGGACUUACCUGCAGCAGCACGGCCAGCAGGAAGCACAAGUGUCCUGGUGACCAGUUUUCUAUUUCUUCAUCUUCCAUGGUGGAGACAUGCCCAUUGAGGAUAAAAUAAAGAACUAAGGCUUGGCUAAAUGAUUUGCUUUGGCCUAAGAGAUGUCAGCAAACAUGAUGUGAGUUCAGUAAGUGUUUGCACAUUGGCACAUUGCUCUCACCACGUUAAGAAGUCCAAGGAGCCAACUUGAAGAUGAAAGACCUACAGAGAGAAAUGUCCAGAUCCUCAGCUUUCUCAGCUGAGCUCAACCCCCUGGAAAUCCCCCAACUGAAUGCAGCGCCAUGAGUGAACUCAGGUGAAACAGCAGAAGAGCUUUCCAGGCAACCCACAGAAUCAUGAGAAAUAGUAAAUUAUUGUUAUUAGUCUCUAAGUUUUGGAGCUUUUUGUCAUACAGUCAUAAAUAAUUAAAACGCAUGCCUUAUUUAUUUUUUAUCCAUGUAUUAAUAUAUUUGUUUAUUCAUUUAUUUAUUUGGCAAUUAUUUAAAUAUCACAGGCACUGGGAUAUAUAAUGCCUGUAAUAAUGCUAAGCACUGGGAGAUAUAAUGAUAGACAAGACAGAGACUGUGCUGUGAAGAAGCAU